This 939-nucleotide non-coding RNA is filed under the name Microdesmus longipinnis (pink wormfish). Its description in RNAcentral is "partial small subunit ribosomal RNA". It matches the Rfam family "Bacterial small subunit ribosomal RNA". The record is from RNAcentral. Lineage: Eukaryota; Metazoa; Chordata; Actinopteri; Gobiiformes; Gobiidae.
UUGGUCCUGACUUUACUGUCAGCUUUGAUCAAAUUUAUACAUGCAAGCAUCCGCACCCCUGUGAGAAUGCCCUACCUAUCCCCAGCAUGGGAAGAAGGAGCAGGCAUCAGGCACAACCCCAAGUUGGCCCAAGACACCUUGCUUAGCCACACCCCCAAGGGGACCCAGCAGUAAUAGACAUUAAGCGAUGAGCGAAAGCUCGACUUAGUUAAGAAUCAAAAAGAGCCGGUUAAACUCGUGCCAGCCACCGCGGUUAUACGAGAGGCUCAAGCUGACAGAUUUCGGCGUAAAGGGUGGUUAACAAAUAACAAACUAAGGCGGAACACCCUCAAGGCAGUUAUACGCACCCGAGGAUAGGAACCUCCUAUACGAAAGUGGCCUUAACCACGUGAACCCACCAAAGCUAGGAGACAAACUGGGAUUAGAUACCCCACUAUGCCUAGCCCUAAACCUAGACACUCCAACACGAUGUGUUCGCCAGGGAACAACGAGCCUCAGCUUAAAACCCAAAGGACUUGGCGGUGCUUUAGACCCCCCUAGAGGAGCCUGUUCUAGAACCGAUACUCCCCGUUAAACCUCACCCCCUCUUGUUUACCCCGCCUAUAUACCGCCGUCGUCAGCUUACCCCGUGAGGGCCUAAUAGUAAGCAGAAUUGGCAAAGCCCAAAACGUCAGGUCGAGGUGUAGCGCACGAGUGGGGAAGAAAUGGGCUACAUUUGCUGCUACCAGCAAACACGGACAUUGCACUGAAAAAGCACUCAAAGGAGGAUUUAGCAGUAAGGGGCGAAUAGAGUGCCCCCCUGAAAACGGCCCUGAAGCGCGCACACACCGCCCGUCACUCUCCCCGACGGUCUUGCACCAUAAAUAAUUAAAGAAUGCCAAAGAAGGGGAGGCAAGUCGUAACAUGGUAAGUGUACCGGAAGGUGCACUUGGAAAAACC